UACGGAGGGUGCAAGCGUUAUCCGGAUUCACUGGGUUUAAAGGGUGUGUAGGCGGGGAUUUAAGUCAGUGGUGAAAUCUCCGGGCUCAACCCGGAAACUGCCAUUGAUACUAUUUAUCUUGAAUUCUGUUGAGGUAGGCGGAAUAUAUCAUGUAGCGGUGAAAUGCUUAGAUAUGAUAUAGAACACCGAUUGCGAAGGCAGCUUACUAAACAGACAUUGACGCUGAGGCACGAAAGCGUGGGGAUCAAACAGG
RNAcentral lists this ribosomal RNA (253 nucleotides) under uncultured bacterium. RNAcentral's name for it is "partial 16S ribosomal RNA". It matches the Rfam family "Bacterial small subunit ribosomal RNA", at positions 524 to 776 of the family's 1533-position model. The record is from RNAcentral.